CACGUCCUGAAGAGAGUGAGACAGCCGGGAGGGAGUGAGACAGCCGGGAGGGAGUGAGACAGCCUGGAGGGAGUGGCACGUCCUGAAGAGAGUGAGACAGCCGGGAGGGAGUGAGACAGCCGGGAGGGAGUGAGACAGCCUGGAGGGAGUGGCACGUCCUGAAGAGAGUGAGACAGCCGGGAGGGAGUGAGACAGCCGGGAGGGAGUGAGACAGCCUGGAGGGAGUGGCACGUCCUGAAAAGAGUGAGACAGCCUGGAGGGAGUGGCACGUCCUGAAGAGAGUGAGACAGCCGGGAGGGAGUGGCACGUCCUGAAGAGAGUGAGACAGCCUGGCGGAAGUGAGACAGCCUGGAGGGAGUGACGCACGCACAGAAGCGGGAUGAGGCCGAACGAGAAGGCCAGAUGGAGAGGAAUGUAAAUGUACUGCCUUUAUGUAGCACUCCAACCUAUUGGACAGUCAAAGCGCUUUACAAUAUUGCCUCUCAUUCACCAUAACACACACAUUCACACACCGACGGCGGAGUCAGACGUGCAAGGCGACAGCCAGCUCGGCGGGAGCAUUUAGGGUUAGGUGCCUUGCUCAAGGACACUCGGCUAGGAGGAGCCGGGGAUCCAACUAGCAACCUUUCAGUUACAAGGCAACUGCUCUACCUCCUGAGCUAAGCCGACCCUGCAUGGAGCUGACGCCGGUUGCACCAACGGGACUUGCGCCUGGUCUUAACUACGCACGGCCUUAGCCAUGUGAAUGGCACCGCGUUGCUAGGAUACCUCGUGCCAACAGGUAUUUACUAUUUUACUUAACAUCCGAUAUGAUGGAGGAAAACCGCAAGAGGAAAGGCAACUUUACUGAUGUUGAAAUAAAAAAUUGAUCGAGUUGUACAGUGACAACUAGACGCUCUGACUGCCAAGCAGUCCAAUGUAAAUACAAACAAAAAAGCAGGAGACAUGGCGAUUUGUAAUGGAGAGCUUGAACAGCUGUUCGGACUCAUCGGGCAGAUGCCGGCAUUAAGAAAAGACCUCCUGUCCCGGGCCAAGAAGGACAUGUCUGCCCCAAAGAACCGGCGGUGGUCCUCCCCCGAAAACGUCACCUUACAGCGACAUUAUUGUCACUAUUUUUGGGGAGGAUUCACCAGCCUUCGUCGGGGUGGACAGCGGCUGUCAUCAACCGCCGGAGCCGUUGGAUGAAGACUUGGCAAGUGCCCAAUCAGCGUUGAGCUUGACCCGACUUCACUGGCAGAGAGACGGAGAGGACAGAACAGAAAUGGAGGAACAAAACCUGAUAGUCGCAGUGUGCAGCCGUCCUGUCCUGUACGACACCACGAUGGUGUCGUACUGAACUCCUCCACCAGGCAGUCCCAUAUAGCCGUCACCCCAUCGGACACGAUGGAAGCCACGGUGGAGGCCCCGACCCGGAAGCUGCUGAUAUAUCAGAGCCGACUCCUGAGAGCAGACGUAUCUGAAGCUGUCAGGGAGGAACCAUGGCUACCAUCUCUGAACCGGACCCUGGACUCUCUGAGGAACCUGGGGACGCGUCUUUGGACCGAAGGGAGCGCAGGAAGAGAGGAUCUGCUGGUAGAGCAAAGAAGAAGGCUAACUUCAGACGCCGUGGAAGCCGUCAGAGAGUAACAA
Gadus morhua (Atlantic cod) is the source of this 1629-nucleotide long non-coding RNA. RefSeq lists it as uncharacterized. The transcript has 4 exons. NCBI's taxonomy places the organism in Eukaryota, Metazoa, Chordata, Actinopteri, Gadiformes, Gadidae. The record is from RefSeq and is a predicted model, not a curated record.